GCGCAGCAGGCGCGAAACUUUACAAUGUGCGAAAGCACGAUAAGGGAACUCUGAGUGCCUCCUAAGGGGCGUGUUCAGGUGUCUAAAAGACACCUGAAGGAAGGGCUGGGUAAGGACCGGUGCCGAGCCGCCGCGGUAACACCGGCAGCCCAAGUGGUAGCCACGUUUAUUGGGUCUAAAGCGUCCGUAGCCGGCUGGGU
Molecule: ribosomal RNA, 200 nt
Filed under: uncultured microorganism
Description: partial 16S ribosomal RNA
Rfam family: Archaeal small subunit ribosomal RNA
Source: RNAcentral